UACGUAGGGUACAAGCGUUAAUCGGAAUUACUGGGCGUAAAGCGUGCGCAGGCGGUUUUGUAAGCCUGUCGUGAAAGCCCCGGGCUCAACCUGGGAAUUGCGAUGGAGACUGCAAGGCUUGAAUCUGGCAGAGGGGGGUAGAAUUCCACGUGUAGCAGUGAAAUGCGUAGAGAUGUGGAGGAACACCGAUGGCGAAGGCAGCCCCCUGGGUCAAGAUUGACGCUCAUGCACGAAAGCGUGGGGAGCAAACAGG
This 253-nucleotide ribosomal RNA is filed under the name uncultured bacterium. RNAcentral describes it as "partial 16S ribosomal RNA". It matches the Rfam family "Bacterial small subunit ribosomal RNA", at positions 524 to 776 of the family's 1533-position model. The record is from RNAcentral.